This 29-nucleotide non-coding RNA is filed under the name Bombyx mori (domestic silkworm). Lineage: Eukaryota; Metazoa; Arthropoda; Insecta; Lepidoptera; Bombycidae. The record is from RNAcentral.
UCCAGCUGAUAGACACCACUUGUCUGUGU